This 518-nucleotide ribosomal RNA is filed under the name Cytospora schulzeri. RNAcentral describes it as "partial 28S ribosomal RNA". It matches the Rfam family "Eukaryotic large subunit ribosomal RNA", at positions 89 to 630 of the family's 3401-position model. The record is from RNAcentral. Lineage: Eukaryota; Fungi; Ascomycota; Sordariomycetes; Diaporthales; Cytosporaceae.
GCGAGUGAAGCGGCAACAGCUCAAAUUUGAAAGCUGGCUCCGGCCCGCAUUGUAAUUUGCAGAGGAUGCUUCUGGUGAGGUGCCUUCCGAGUUCCCUGGAACGGGACGCCAUAGAGGGUGAGAGCCCCGUAUGGAUGGACACCAAGCCUGUGUGAAGCUCCUUCAACGAGUCGAGUAGUUUGGGAAUGCUGCUCUAAAUGGGAGGUAAAUCUCUUCUAAAGCUAAAUACCGGCCAGAGACCGAUAGCGCACAAGUAGAGUGAUCGAAAGAUGAAAAGCACCUUGAAAAGGGGGUUAAACAGUACGUGAAAUUGUUGAAAGGGAAGCGCUUGUGACCAGACUUGCGCCGGGCAGCUCAUCAGGGGUUCUCCCCUGUGCACUCUGCCCGGCUCAGGCCAGCAUCGGUUCUCGUGGGAGGAUAAGAACGGUAGGAACGUGGCCCCCUUCCGGGGGGGUGUUAUAGCCUACCGUACGAUACUCCCGUGGGGACCGAGGUUCGCGCUCCGCAAGGAUGCUGGC